This 443-nucleotide small RNA is filed under the name Pongo abelii (Sumatran orangutan). RNAcentral's name for it is "retained intron". Lineage: Eukaryota; Metazoa; Chordata; Mammalia; Primates; Hominidae. The record is from RNAcentral.
CUGGGGUGAGGGCACGGGUGUGCUCUUGGCGCUGCCGGCCCCAGUGUGCGGCAGUCGUCGCCCCCAGCCCAGCCCCCGACCCCCGUCUCCUCCUCUCCUUUCCAGGAGGGCCUUUCAGACUCACGCUCUGGGCACGGCAGAGGUCCUGACGGCCCCCUUGGCGGGGCUGGUCCAGGCUUCAGGCUGGUUUGGGAGCCGCCUCUGUCGGGCCUCUGGCCCCCGGUGUCCUGGCAGUCCUGGAGGUUGUGUCCUAGAAGCGAGCCCCUUCCUCCUGGGCCGGCCUGCGGCAGGCAAGCAGCCCAUCUCACCACGGUUUAUUUCCCCACAGACUCCGUGGGAAGGAGGCUGAGGCAGUAGAAGCACUUGAACCCAGGAGGCAGGUGCAGUGAGCCAAGAUCACACCAUUACACUCCAGCCUGGACAGCAGAGCAAGACCUUGUCUC